UAGAUGCGAGAGUAGAGCAUAUCAAUAGCGGAGGAAAAGAAACUAACAAGGAUUCCCCUAGUAACGGCGAGUGAAGCGGGAAGAGCUCAAAUUUGAAAUCUUCAAGGGUUUCCCUUGACGAAUUGUAGUUUAAAGAAGUGUUUUCUGUUAGAGAGGUGGUAAAAGUUCUUUGGAAUAGGACAUCAUAGAGGGUGAGAAUCCCGUAUUUGAUCAUUUCUUCCAGCUGUGUGAUACACUUUCAAAGAGUCGGAUUGUUUGGGAAUGCAGUCCAAAAUGGGUGGUAAAUUUCAUCUAAAGCUAAAUAUUGGCGAGAGACCGAUAGCGAACAAGUACCGUGAGGGAAAGAUGAAAAGAACUUUGAAAAGAGAGUUAAACAGUACGUGAAAUUGUCAAAAGGGAAGCGUUUGACACCAGUGUUGUUUUCUCGAAAAUCAAUUAAAAAUGACCGGAUUUUGUGUUGUAUUGACUUUAUCAGCUUUCUGCACUUUUUUCUUGUCUUUUUUAAUGCACUUUUCGUUUAACAAGUCAACAUCAAUUUCUUUUGUUGUAAAAGGGUCAUGAGGAAGGUGGCUUUCUUUUCGGAGAAAGUGUUUAUAGCCUUGUGCCUCUGCAAUCGGAGAGAUCGAGGUCUGCAGCGUAGAUCCUUCGGGGUUAGAUACGCUUGUGCUAAGUUAUAGCUUUUUCAUAGACAACAUUGUUGACUAUGAUUAAGUCAUUGUAGCUUACUCGCUUAUGCUAUUUUACCUACGCUUAGGAUGUUGACGAGACUGUCGAUCUC
Molecule: ribosomal RNA, 778 nt
Filed under: uncultured Neocallimastigales
Lineage: Eukaryota; Fungi; Neocallimastigomycota; Neocallimastigomycetes; Neocallimastigales
Description: partial large subunit ribosomal RNA
Rfam family: Eukaryotic large subunit ribosomal RNA
Source: RNAcentral